GUUGAAAAAUUAGCGGAUGACUUGUGGCUGGGGGUGAAAGGCCAAUCAAACCGGGAGAUAGCUGGUUCUCCCCGAAAUCUAUUUAGGUAGAGCCUUGAGCGGACACCUUCGGGGGUAGAGCACUGUUUCGGCUAGGGGUCCAUCCCGGAUUACCAACCCGAUGCAAACUACGAAUACCGAAGAGUGAUACUCAGGAGACACACGGCGGGUGCUAACGUCCGUCGUGGAGAGGGAAACAACCCAGACCGCCAGCUAAGGUCCCAAAGUCUAUAUUAAGUGGGAAACGAAGUGGGAAGGCUUAGACAGCUAGGAUGUUGGCUUAGAAGCAGCCAUCAUUUAAAGAAAGCGUAAUAGCUCACUAGUCGAGUCGGCCUGCGCGGAAGAUGUAACGGGGCUCAAAUAUAGCACCGAAGCUGCGGCAUCAGACGAAAGUCUGUUGGGUAGGGGAGCGUUCUGUAAGCGGAUGAAGGUGGUUCGAGAGGGCUGCUGGACGUAUCAGAAGUGCGAAUGCUGACAUAAGUAACGAUAAAACGGGUGAAAAACCCGUUCGCCGGAAGACCAAGGGUUCCUGUCCAACGUUAAUCGGGGCAGGGUGAGUCGACCCCUAAGGCGAGGCUGAAAAGCGUAGUCGAUGGGAAACGGGUUAAUAUUCCCGUACUUGGAUAAGCUGCGAUGUGGGGACGGAGUAGGUUAGGUUAUCGCACUGUUGGAUAUGUGCGUUUAAGUUGGUAGGUGAGAAGUUUAGGCAAAUCCGGACUUCUUUAACACUGAGAGAUGAUGACGAGGCUCUACGGAGCUGAAGUAACCGAUACCACACUUCCAGGAAAAGCCACUAAGCUUCAGGUUUAUCUAAACCGUACUGAAAACCGACACAGGUGGUCAGGUAGAGAAUACUCAGGCGCUUGAGAGAACUCGGGUGAAGGAACUAGGCAAAAUAGCACCGUAACUUCGGGAGAAGGUGCGCCGGCGUAGAUUGUAGUCCCUAGCGGGCGAAGGUUGAACCGGUCGAAGAUACCAGCUGGCUGCAACUGUUUAUUAAAAACACAGCACUCUGCAAACACGAAAGUGGACGUAUAGGGUGUGAUGCCUGCCCGGUGCUGGAAGGUUAAUUGAUGGUGUAAUCGAAAGAGAAGCUCCUGAUCGAAGCCCCAGUAAACGGCGGCCGUAACUAUAACGGUCCUAAGGUAGCGAAAUUCCUUGUCGGGUAAGUUCCGAC
Molecule: ribosomal RNA, 1216 nt
Filed under: human gut metagenome
Description: bacterial LSU rRNA
Rfam family: Bacterial large subunit ribosomal RNA
Source: RNAcentral